This 253-nucleotide ribosomal RNA is filed under the name uncultured bacterium. Its description in RNAcentral is "partial 16S ribosomal RNA". It matches the Rfam family "Bacterial small subunit ribosomal RNA", at positions 524 to 776 of the family's 1533-position model. The record is from RNAcentral.
UACGUAGGGCGCGAGCGUUAAUCGGAAUUACUGGGCGUAAAGCGCGCGUAGGCUGUUGUGUAAGUUGGGGGUGAAGUCCCACGGCUCAACCGUGGAACAGCCCUUGAUACUGCGCGACUUGAAUCCGGGAGAGGGUGGCGGAAUUCCAGGUGUAGGAGUGAAAUCCGUAGAUAUCUGGAGGAACAUCAGUGGCGAAGGCGGCCACCUGGACCGGUAUUGACGCUGAGGCGCGAAAGCGUGGGGAGCAAACAGG